This is a long non-coding RNA of Cyprinus carpio carpio, 1873 nucleotides long. Lineage: Eukaryota; Metazoa; Chordata; Actinopteri; Cypriniformes; Cyprinidae. The record is from Ensembl.
CAUUCAUACCUACCCGCCACUAGGGGUCACUCGUGUUUACGUGAUGCAUAGUAGAGUGCACACAGAGGAAGAGUGUACUACAUGUGUAGGUUGUGCUUGUUCGUAGCUGUCUGCAGCUGAGCACAUGAGCAGUUGUGCAUAAGAUUAAAAGCAAACAUCAGCUUUUCUUAAGGAAGGGGGGAAAGUCCUGCUUGUGUUUUGCUUACCACCUUGUGCAUCAUGUAUUUGGUGUCUGUCUGCAAGAUAUUUCCGGGUGGAUAUAUACAUAUCUAAUGUGGCGGAGAUUGAGCGUGAGUGUUUAUUAAAAGAGUUUAAUUUAAGUUGCAUGUUCUGUUAUAAUAAUUGGGAAUUUGUGGAAAAUAACAAUCCAUUUUCUCUUUGAAUUAUAUUAGAGGGGAGAACAGAUACACGUGUGUCAGCGCCUCGUUUCAUGUUACAGCGUGUCACAGAGUGAGUUCAUUUAUUUUGUUUCAUAUUAUAAAUAUUAUUGUGCACUCAAAGAAGAGAGAGAAACAUUUUGUAAUGUUUAUAUUAUGUCAGCAAUAAAUAUAAUUUGUUAAUAGGCUAAAUAUGAACAUUUUGAUACCAUGAUUGACACUGUAUAAAUGAUUAAUGAGGUGUAAACUGGAUUCAGUUCAGAUUUAUUAAGUUAAGUGGCUAAUGUUUAUGUACUAUGAAUGUUUCUGUGUUUUGUCUAUAUUACAGAAUAGCAUCCAAAAGCCACUACCGUUGUUUUAUAGGGGUAUAUUUCAUACAGGGCUAUUUUUGUGUGUUUUCAUUUAUUUUCUCUGUUGAUUUGGGAUCUUUAUAAUCUUGAGAAGGAAUGUGAUUUAAGGAGAAACGUGUAUUAACCCUUUCUAAUCAGCCGAAUUUCACCCAAAGGGAGUGUUCAAUAGUUGGGCUACUGUUUUAUUUGUUUUAUUUAUUUUUCUUUAAACUGAAUAGGCCAUUGUAACAAAAUAUUCACAGUGUAUUUGGAGCUUGUGUUAAUUUGAUCUCUUUUUAUAUUUCUUGUAAACUUGGUUUAUUAUAAUAUACUACGCAGGGGGAAAUUUCACAGUCAUUUAAUGCUGUGUUUUCUCUUAACUCAGUCGGAAAUAAAGAACCCCUGUUAGAUGUAUGGCUGUGCUGGAGUCUUUGUCAUAGUGUGAAGGUUUACACGGCCACAUCUUUUGGUGUCAGAAGUGGGAUUAUUAGUUACUUACUGUGGGUUUCCUUUUGUGCAGAGGAUUUGUUUAUUAUUUUUUUUUAAUUCUUAUUACUACAAGUGGGUUAAACAACAGUAAACAACGGUAGUGGUCGAGGCUGGAUGUUUGUCACCGAGAGUCAACAGCGAGCUAUGUGCUGAGCCAGGAAGGACGGCGGAGAGUUCAAGUGUCAACGUUUCAGGAUCAACUUGACUGGGAAGGCUGCAUGGGACUGUGUUAGUGUGUGAUUUUGUAGAGACUGAAGCCAUUGACAUCUGCCGUAUAGAGCCAUGGAAGCUGAAGAUACUGAGCAAGCACAGGCACAGGGAGAGGACAGCCAAGGACUUGGUGCUGCUUCCUGGAGGGGAGAACAGAUACACGUGUGUCAGCGCCUCGUUUCAUGUUACAGCGUGUCACAGAGUGCAAUAUGGAUUAAGACGGAGAGAGAUUCUGGAGAUGACUGAUGGGGAAAGAGAGAGAGAGAGACAGAUGCCAGGGUGUGUCAGUCCACACCAUGAGAUCCAAUCAAGCUCAAUCACCCGGCUCAGCACCAAUACCAUCUGACUGUUAAACAUGAAUACUCAGCCAAACAACUUAUGCAUCUAUGCCCACCUGAAUUUUAAAUCUGGUCUGUCUAAUUUUUAGUCUGGACAAUACACCAGAGGGAAACAAGAGCUCAGUUGGAG